GUAUUUAUUUUUGUCUAUAUUUUUUAGGAAGUAUAGCAAAAGAUAUGGGGUUUCCCUCGCAAGGGGGUACUCUGAAAUAGAUUGCCUCUGUUUUGAUAGACUCGACGAAGUUUUUCAAUCCUGCAGAAAAGUAUUUGAAUGGAACUGUGGUUUCUCGAUAUGCUGAAUAUGUGGGGGAAAGAUGGAGAAUCUAUUGGGCAGAUGUCCAUACCCUAUAAGGCGGUCUUAGGAUCGGCUUGAA
Molecule: unclassified non-coding RNA, 241 nt
Filed under: uncultured Chytridiomycota
Lineage: Eukaryota; Fungi; Chytridiomycota
Description: sequence contains ITS2
Source: RNAcentral